UUGGCCAGGUCUCCUCUUCC
Molecule: unclassified non-coding RNA, 20 nt
Filed under: Mus musculus (house mouse)
Lineage: Eukaryota; Metazoa; Chordata; Mammalia; Rodentia; Muridae
Description: oocyte_clustered_small_RNA4284
Source: RNAcentral